This 64-nucleotide transfer RNA is filed under the name Gibbium aequinoctiale. RNAcentral's name for it is "tRNA-Trp". The record is from RNAcentral. Lineage: Eukaryota; Metazoa; Arthropoda; Insecta; Coleoptera; Ptinidae.
AAGGAUUUAAGUUAAAUAAACUAUUAACCUUCAAAGUUAAAAAUAAAUUUAUAUUUAAGCCUUA